This is a long non-coding RNA of Corvus hawaiiensis (hawaiian crow), 20567 nucleotides long. RefSeq lists it as uncharacterized. The transcript is spliced from 3 exons. Lineage: Eukaryota; Metazoa; Chordata; Aves; Passeriformes; Corvidae. The record is from RefSeq and is a predicted model, not a curated record.
AUCCAACCUGGCCUGGAACACUGCCAGGGAUGGGGCAGCCACAGCUUCUGUGGGCAGCCUGUGCUAGGGUCUCACCAGCCUCUGAGUAAAGAGCUCCUUCCCAAAAUCUAAUCUGAAUCUCUCCUCUUCAGUAUUAGCAAAUACAUACCCAAAAAAACCAUUUUCAGUCCUUUACCUACGGUGCUACCCACAGUGGCCAAAAACCUGCUUAGUUUGUGCAGAAACGCAGGUGUGACAGUACCAUUACAACUGAUAUGGGAAGCACGAAUGCCUUGACAUGUGGAAGAAGUUUAAUAACCCAUGAAAAAGACAGAAUAAGCUAUCAGAAUCUCUUUCACAAUUACCUUCCUUUUUACCAACUUGAUAAAACUGUAUGCUAUCCCCACUACCUUCUCUUCCUACCUUUGCCACUGCCAGCAGAGAAAAACUAUUUAUGGGGAACAAGAAACAUUAAUAGAUUGACAUAAUAAUAAUAAUAAUCACCUUUGAAAACUAACUUAUGGGAAUUAUAGCUGUAAAAAACUCUGGACAUACAGUAGUUCCAUUGAUUCCUGUAAAUAUAAACUCAUGUCCCUCAGAAGGGCAGCCUUAAAUAACUGACAAUAUUUCCCCAUCUUGCAGAUUUCUUCACACUCAAUUUCCCUGUGACAACAGAUGUUCCUGUUGUAGUGAUGGGUAUCUUGGUCUGAGAAGCUUGAGGCUCCUGACAUACAGGUAUAUCUGGAAAUAGCCAUUACGAAAAGUCUGACCUUUAACAAUACUGCAAAAAUAUUUUAGCUAUUUAACCUGAUUAAACAUUUCUUACUGAAGACAGGCCUCAAAUACCUGUUCUCCUGGUGGAAAACUUAGGGUGGAGGUGAAAAAACAUCUGAAACAUCUGGAUUCUCUUUGUCCUCUUUCUUGGACCACAGAUUUCACUGUAACUCUAUUUUGUCAAAGGUAUUUCAAGGUAACUGUCAUGGUUUAACCCCAGCCCACAACUAAGUACCACAAAGCUGUUUGCUCACUACCUGUCCCACCCUCACGGGAUGGGGAGGAAAACUGCAACGAAGGAAUAACCCAUGGGCCAACUUAAAAACAGUUUAAUAACUGAAAUAAAAUAAUUAUUGCAAUGACAAGGGAGACAACAUAAAGAGAGAAACAAGACCCAAGACACAAGUGAUGCACAAUGCAAUUGCUCACCACCCUCUGAUGCCCAGCCCAUCCCAGAGCAGUGACCAGCACUUCCCAGUUUAUACACUGGGUGUGACACUCUGUGGUUUGGAGUAACUCUGUGGUCAGUUUAGGUCAGCUGUCCUGGCUGUGCCCCCUCCUGGCUUCUUGUGCAUCUCCUCACAGGCACAGCAUGGAAAACUGAGGAGUCCUUGACUCGCGGUGAGCACUGCUCAAGAACAACUAAAGCAUCAGUGUGCUAUCAGCACUGUUCUCCAAAACACAGCCCCGCCCCAGGAAGAAAAUUAACUCUAUGCCAGCUGCAACAGUAACAAUAGCACAAGCAAUUCUGCUGCCUUAAACAGAUUCACCUUUAUGCCUUUGAUUUUUGUUAGCUACUCAUUCAAGAUCCCUUCACCUGCAGAAUGUCCGUCCUACAACAAAAACUCAAGAGAGAAUAACUGGAAGUAAGUGGUUGCCAUCCACCCAGAUUCCUGUAGUUUUGUCACUGCUUCCUUUUCAACUGCAGACACUUUUAAGUUAAAUCCCCCCUGCUUUGGCAAUCAAGCUGAGCACUUCAAGUCCACAGGUUUGUCAGGCUUGUGUGAAUCACACAGGGCACGCAGAGAAGGACAACUCAAGAGAUGAAAAUAGACACUAACCUCACAAGUGGGGAUUUCAGCCCUUGUAUUUUCUUCCUGACAGCCUAAUGUUCUCAAAAAUAUUUUGGGUACUUUCCAGAUUUUUGCCAGGCUUUAGCACCCUUGGCAGCAGCCUUCAGCAGAAACAGUCAAAACUUCUCCCAACCAUUGAAUUAUUAAUUACUGACUAAAAUGCUGCUCAAAUCCAGCCCAUAGUGCUUUCUUUUAAAAAUUAAUCCCAGAGUAAGAUCAUCAAGUGCUGCCAGCUGGAGCUGAUGGGCAGAACCCAAGGAAAAGGGGAUGUUGGAACCAACCAGUGCUGCCAGAGUGGCAGCGUCUCCUCUCCCUUUUACUAUGUGUUUCCUUUCUAGAAAGCCUACUACUAUAGAUAGAUGUUUAAACUGUACAGCACAACAAUUGGCUAUUUUUAGCUGCUAUUUAAACCUAAACUGUAACCAAUCUGAGUAAAACCCAGCCAUGUAAAUAGGAAGAUUAACUACCAGCUUCAAAGAGCGUUUCUUUAAUGGAUCAAAUUAAUAGGGAAAAGAUCUUUCACAAAUGAGGUUUAAUUACCAAGUGAAGUCAUUGUUGCCUCAACACUGAAAUGCCACCAAAUUAAAAAAAAAAAAUUCUUUACUAUUGCAACUACUCUAAGCUUUGUCACAAUUGCAUAAAGUAAAUAAAACACCACACAUCAGCAUGUAUAGCUCACAAUUAAUUGUAGUCAAUUAAAUGACAUUGAAUUCCUGUAAAGAAAAUGUAUUUCCAAAGUGAGCACUCUCUCGACCAGAGGGGAAGGAAAGGGAGCUCAGGGAAGGGGAUUUUAAACAGUGAGGUGUGAAGUGCCACAAAAUCAGUUUAAAUAAAUCAUAUCACUUCUCUUAUCAGUUCUUUCAGAACUGCCCCUGUGUAAACUUCAUGAUCUUCACAACAGAAAUAGCAUUCUGUAAAAAAGGAGCCAAGCUCCAUUUAAAACGAACCCCAAACUUCAGAGCUGUGUUGCAGCCUUCUGCUGUCAGUCUGGCACAAAACAAAACACCUCAAGAGUCUGAAGAAAACCUCAGCUGCAGAGCGGAUUAUACAUGCAAUGAAAAUAUCAGAAAUGCCGGUACUGGACAGGAAAUUGCAUGCAUUUGCAGGUCUGAUUUUUCCUGCACAAAUUCAGUGCCAGACAUUCAUUUCCAUUUAGUAUUUCUACCACCAGAAUACAGAAGCAGACAAUCUUAAGCACGUUAUCCAUCAUAGCUCACUGAAAGCAGUUUCACUGACCCCUUUAAACCCAAUACCACUUUCCAUAUAUAAGAGAUGUUUACAUGCAAUACCUGAAUAAAAUCUGAGCUCCAGAAGAUAUUUGAGUUAGAGACCCAGAGCAAAAGGGUAUUUCAUGACCACGACUCACUGCAGCUGAACCAGGGCCUCAGCUAAAGGAUAUAACCCUGACUCCCACUCACUACCUCAAAUCAUGGUGAAUUGAAACAAAGUUUUACAGCAAGAAUUUGCCCAACAGCCUUGAGAGCAAAGCACACCAGCAACAACCCCGUGCCCAUCAGUUACAGAUGUUAACUCGAGUGCACAAGUCCUGUCAUCCUGGUCAUACAAACCAUCUGGGCCACGGCAUCUCCCAAAUAACACAUUGUUUCCCAUACCAUCCCAAACACCCCUCCACAGCAGAUUCCUACAAGUGAGCCCCCAAUUGUCUAAAUGCAGCCCCAGUUUUUCAUCUCCUUGAGUGAAAAACUAAUCAACGGCCACAGAUAUAAGCUUAGUUCCUUCUUAUAUACCAAUGGCAAAUAGACAAAAAAAAAAAAAAAACCACCACCAAAAAACCCCUGGAAAAUACCACCAGUAACUAGUAAAUUUUGGUUGAAAAUAAUCAGAUAAAAAAUGGUCAAUGGAUAGAACUUAAAAUGUGUAGCAGUCAACUUUGUCUCCUUCUAGCUUUUAAAAUCACCACCCAGUGUUACGAUAUUUUUUAUACGGUGUACAUAAUAUUAGUUUAACAAAAAAAAAAAAAAAAAAGGAGGUUUCCUUUAUGUCACUUUGCUGUGGUUAUAGAUUUUCUAGCUUUUCUCCCAUUCUAACUUACUGGUCCUCUAAUCAGGUACAUUUUGCCCUGUACGUGUUUUCCAUUCCCAUGUAAAAUAACUAUUGUACAUGAUUAAUUAACCCAGGCUCAUCUUUCUUGAUACAGGUUUUGAGAACAUCCUGAAAUAUAAACAUCUUCUCAUAGCAAUUCACAUUCCUCUCUUUAGAUUUGCUUUCUACAACCAAGUGGCCUUGUAUUUAUCACAUUAUUUGUUAUUAAAGUUUCAUAGAAAUAUACCAUGUAGGAAACAAGCAAUCCAAAUUAGCAACGUGCCUCAAAUCUGGUAACAUCUCCUUAUUGAACUUGAACCAGUUUUCAGUUCCAACAUUAACUGCCAUCAUUUGCCAGUAAAAGAUUCAGAUAUUUCCAUGUUAGUAACAAUCUCUCCUCUCAGACUAGUCUGGGAAAUAGCUGGCUUAGAAAUGGAGUCACAAAAACUACAUCCACUAUAACAUAGCUUCAUUUUUUCUUCAUUACACAAAAAAAAGAUGCAAAUACUACAAUACAGUAAUAUACUAAAAGUAUAUGACAUCACAAUGGUAUUGGAACUUUAGACAGUACACCUGCAAGUGGUCUCACGUUUAACUUUUAAGGCUGAAUUCAUUCCUGUGGUUGGUACAAAACUUGGUCACCUUUUCAGGCCCAGCCUAAGCCAGGUAUUUCUGGCAGCACAGCUGAACAGGACAGAGGGGCAGCUCCUGGUCUGAAGCCAUACCCUGCAGAACACCCAGAACAACCAGCUGUGUCCAUGUGGAAUGUGAAGGGCUCAGUCCUGGGCAUGGCCACACCAACCACUCUCACCUACAGCCAAAGAGUGUUAGGACAGAGCUGGACUCUCCUGACUCUGCUGAAUACACAAUCACUUGGGGUUUUUUCACUGUUUGUAAGAUCUGUGUUUUGUCCAGAGCUGCUCGCCAUGAUACUUGCUAAAUUAUUCCUCCAUGGAAAGAAGGCCCAGGCAAGCCCAGCACUUUGCACAGAGAAACUAGUGCCCUAUAGACAACUUCAUACGAAAAACUGAUUUAUGAUGAAAGAGAACACCACUCAAAUCCAGUUACUUAGAUAUAUGGAGAGCUGAUCAACUUCAGUGAGGGGGGACAGAGCUGCAAUGUCAGCACCAUCUAUCAAGUCUUGAGACAAACACAAACAUCACCCAGAGUCACAGGCAGCCCCGAGAGGCCCAUUCCCUCUCCCUCCCAGCCCUGCAGUGACAUACUUGCCUGGCCUGACCAGCAGCCCAGACUGUUCAUCCCUCAGCAGGCAAACUUUUUCCAAAUUGGUUGGGAGGGGUGCUCCUUCCUCCUAUUGCAGCUCUACAAAAUUAGUGCACUCUCUCAGCUGCCAAUUCUCCAUGAGCUCGGGGUUACAGCUUUGACCCGCCUUUGACGUGAUUUCCUUUUAAAGUAUUAUUGCUUUAUGACCAAUUUUAUUUACUAGUUCUUCUUAUGUUAUAGUCUGUGUAGAGCGCUCUUGUGAGGAAAAAAACCCCACACUCAAGUCUCGUGUGUAAUCAGAAGCAUGUGAUUACACAGAAGAAAGUCCUGCUCUUCAUGAAUUAAUGAACAUCACAGCCCACUAAUCCAACUCAGGAAAAGAACUCAGAAAUUCUUUACAUACAGUAUGAAUGAUUUAAAAGAGAUUUAACUGCAGAAACUAACGUAAUAUCCAAGCAGAGACAACACCACUGCAUGUAAACUAUCAAAAUUCAUUCCUUUGUAUAUUUCUUUCUAACACAGCAAUUUAAACCAUUUUUUUUACAUGAGGGUAAUUACAGGCAUUACCCAUAGCUUGACUGCCACCAAAACAAAUCCCUAACUGAUAAAACUCUAACAAAUCAGGAGAGCAAGCAGGCAGGUCAGCCUGGAUUAGCUACAGCAGCACAAACGCUCUGAAAGCCACUGCCGUUUGCAAAAUUAGAGUGGGGAGAGGCAGCGAGAGGAGACUCCACUGGGCUGCACAUCAGCUCACGUCUUACUGUUGACACCACAAAGUCCAUAUAAACACCCAUCCUGCAGACAAAUUACAGCACAGGCAGCAGAGCCUUAAAGCCCUGCAGCCAGCACAGGACCACGCUGUCAAGAUAAUCCAUCAUUUGGAUUUGGCCUUGAAUUGACCUGAAACCCCCACUACCUCCCCACAUAGAAAGUGUGAGUGAGUUAAGAAGGGAAAAGCUUAAAUAUUGUAAUUUCUAAUUUGGAUCAUGGUGAAGUGAUUCUAUCAUGUUUUACUAUACAACCUAACCCACUGAUAGGUUACCUUUGAAUCUUAAUUUACUGUUUUAAAAUAACCACAUGGCAUACAGUGGUAAUAUGUAAGAAAAUUCUUUUUUUUUUCCAGCUAGGUUAUUUGGCUUUUUCCUUGAAUAUAUCUUUCCCCCCCCUAAUUAGCUGUGCUCUACCCUUCAGGAUGAAAAGUACGUGGCAGUUAAAUUGUGUUUAUUAUUACAGAAAAAUCAGAGCUAUUCAAAAGAGAUAUCAGAACACGGGCUUGACAGAACUAGACACUAAGUGCUCUCCUCCCUUCAGUCCUUCUGCUUUUGCUUCUACCAAGCUCACAAAAAAUGAUACAAAACAUAACCCCAAGAUAUCUGUCAGGCUCUCAGAUAAUAAUGUUUUAGCUAAGAACUGGUCUACCUUCAGACAGAUGCAGACUCUUGAUAAAGUAAGUAAUUUUAGUCUAAAUCAUGGCAUUAAAUUAUGUAUCUUCUGUUUUGUUCACCGCAUUCAGUUUUCUAGACUGGAGGCUGGACAUUUUCCCUCACUGCUUCCAUCCAAAUUCUCAUCCCUUUAACUCAAGUUUCUCAACUGCUUUCAGCUAACAGGGUAUUUUGUAAUCAAAAGUUUUAAAAACAGAAAAAAAAAAAAAAAAGAAAAACCAGAAGAUAUAAAAUCUUAGUUUUCUGUAUGAAUAAAGAACAAACAGACCCACUAAGCAGUCAAGAGAAGCAUUUACAACAAUAGGUAGGACAAAAAGCCUGCAGCAAUGUCAGCUCAGCAUCCAGUUGACUCAGUAGGGUGCAAGGAAAAAGUCAUUUCUGAAGGACUGAGCACCAAAAUUCCUAUCUCCAGCUAAACCAUUCUUUUCUUAGUGGGGGCUGCAGUCUUUAUAUCUGAUGUGGAUUACUUCUUCUCUUCCUCAGACCAUAUUCCCAUGUCUUCCAAUGGAGGAGAGCAAAGAGCAAACAUAAGGAGGUAAGCCUCUAGUAACUCCCUGUCUAGCAUAAUAGUCCAUUUACUACUCUCAUUAGUGAGCAAAAACAGGAGGCUUGGCCUCAAAUCCUUUUGCUUCUUGAAAUGCACAAAUUUUCAGAGUGGCAUCAGUCUAGUUUUGGUUUAGGACUGACGAUGAAAGAACUCAUUAUGGUAAACAAAAUGGGUCAUCUUUUUCAGGUAACACUUCCAGGAUUAUCACAAAUGGAAUAAAAAAAGUUAUUUAAGUAAGUUGCUUGGUAAAAUCUUCCACUAUUGUAAUUAUAAUCAGUGCUGCUGACUCAGUAUCCUCAGUUCUUCACUUGAAGUUCAGGCUCGAUUUUAAUGCAGUGAGUUAAAAGGUUUGUUGUAACAUUUCUCAAAAUGCUUAAGGAGCAUUCAUUCACACCAAAUUAAACAGAAGCUGCACAGUAUCUCUGUUAAUACACACACACACACACACACACACACAGACAGAGUUUGUUAUGCUUUGGUGUCUUUACUGGCCGACUGAUGGACCAUCUUGAAGCACCAGUUCUUCUCCAGUGCCAGCAAAGCCAUUUUGAGUGUCUUGGUACUAAAAUAUCUCAAGGUUUUAAAAGGCUACAUUUCAGUACAAGUCCCAGUGUUACCAGACUUCAGCAGGAAGAAAGGACAGAUCAUGCACAUAAUGAAACUGCUCUUUAUCAAAGCACUUUCUCUGAGAUCUCAAACCCAACCCCCAGGCUGGUAUGAACAGGCAUAGCUUCAACUGAGGCUGUGGCUCCACAUCAAAGAACCUUGAAGUGUUCGUCACCUACGUAAACUGCAUUCAAAAAAUACAUAUCCUGGCAUGCAUUCACUUGAUUCCAUGUUCCAAAUGAUUUCAGAAUGUGAUUUUCAUAGAGAUUUUUAUUCCAAGCUAAAUAGCAGAGAUCUCAGUAGAGGAAAACCUCAACAGGCUUCAUAUCCCAUGGUAAUUUGGAAACCUGUAUCUUCCUUGAUUUUUCAGUCAUUAGUUAAAGUGCAAAGGCUCACCUUCUCUCCUGGGCCAUUUCUGUAGUCCCUGGUGUCAUAAAACCUCCCUGUGUCUCCCAUUUCAGAGCGGAACUCAAUGGAAAACUCAGAUUCUCCUACAUUCUCUUCCACCCACUCUAAUACAAAGGAAGUUUCGCAGGAGAAGCUCGAAAGGCUCAAACUUUCUCAGAUUCAAAAGGGAAAGGGUUGUUAUAACACGAAAAUAUGAUUAAGGUCCAAGUUCUUUCCAUGCAUUACCUAGGUGGUUUUUCUGAGGCAUGCAAACAUCUGCCCAUAUAACUGUGUAUAUGAAGAUAAAAGGUGCAGUUGAGCUGAUGACUUGGAAUCUGGAACAUUCCUUCCUUUUGGACACCAGCUUGCUAGGAACAGGUAUGGGUUACUGUGCCUUCUUUAAGGCUCCUGCAAGAUUUGUUUUUGUUUUGAAUCUGUUUGUUUUUUAAAGAACACAUCUUGUAAUUGGAUUGGUAUUUGCAUCUCCUUGGAAGAGCAGUAUCAUCAGGAAAAGCUUGAUGCUCUUGUAUACCACCCCUGAACCACAGGGGACUUCCCUCCUCGGUUUAUUGAGCAAUGCACACUUUACAACCAUGUAAAAAUUAUUUUGUUGGCAUAUCCUAACACCAAACUCUUUGGGAAUAAAUUAAUACUGCCAAAUUCUCUUCUGUAGCACAAAAAAAAAAAAAAUACACUCAAAAAUCAGCAGCUUCUGUCAUUCAAAGUCCCCUUUAAUAUCAAAAAUCUCAUGCAAGCCUACUUGAAAUCCAGCAUUCUAACAGAAAUUGUUUACAGCAAUAUUGGAAACAGCAAUAUCACUAUUGAGCAACACAAACACACUCAAGAAUUCAAUCCACUGUGUUACAUAGGCUCAGCAAGAGUCCUCCAGCCUAGAAGCACACCAAAGGGAACAUGUGCAAUCUUAAGAGUUUUGGGCUUACACUGCAACGCCACUGACAUUUGACAGCCUUAUUAAUAUUUAUUGACUAAUUUUUUUUUUCCAUUUCACCACCAGCAAUCAGAGUCUUGGAACUAGCCGCAUAAACUCCAGGCAUUAUAGUUCAAGGAUAGGGAGGAACAAAGGUCUGUGGUUGCUUUCACAAUGUGCAGGGGAGGAAGCAAGCAUCUGCAGGUGAAUUCAUGUGUUACACUGCUGACUGAGAGCGACACAUCACAGCAGGAUGGUCUCCUACGGCCCCUCUUCUCGUGGCAGUAGAAAGACAGCUUGGCACUGCUUCUCAGCUCCUUAAGGCUUACAAAGGACAUGCCACCUUAGCCUAGCCUAAGUAAACCCUUGAUGGGCACUUCUGAUAAGAGAGUAAUCAACCAGGACAUGGGGACGGUAAUUAAAUGAGAGAAUAAAAUGGGUUGUCCACUUCACACCUCCACCUUUAAACCAACAGUUGACUUAACUGCCACACUUAAGCUGCUGAUAACAGUUUGCAUCUACGUUUGUUCCCCCCACACACCUUCCAAAAAUGGUCCAGGAUGUGCCUCCAGAGACACCAGAACGGAAAAGCAUUUCUACAGAAGGCUGAGUUGCUAGAAAAGCUUGAAAGUACUUGAAACAAAAACCUCUUAUUAUUGCAUUACCCUGUUACAGACCCCCUAACAACCUGGACCAUCUGAUCACAGCUGCACUGGCCCUCCUGGCUAAGUGUGGACUGGUUGUUGGUAUUUCAGGCACCCCAACCAAGAGACCCAGACUGCAGACUGGAGACACUGUGUUUUAAAGGGCACAGCAAGCAUGACUGUAAACAAAAACCAGAAAACCCUCCUGCUGCUUCCAUCAGCAUACUGCCAAAUUAUCAGACCUUCACUGAUAAAAGGGAACCAAAGCACCAGCAGAGCGAAAUUAUGGAAAAUUUCUGCACCAGGCAAAUCCUCCACAGCUAUUCUUCCCUGAUUUUCAGCGCCUUGAUGCUGAUAAGGACGGGCAGUAGCACUAUGCUGUCCCCUUCAUCUUUAGUGGAAAACCAUUUCCGGUCAUUUUUAUUAAAGGGAUUAAUGAACCUUUUCAUGUUUGAGGCAGUGCAAAGAACAGACAACACAGGUAAGCCCUAUGGCAAGGCAAACAAUCCAGAAAAAUCCAGAAAGCAGUAAAACCACCUUUCUGUGAGCCAGAAACCACUCAGCCUUCCCCAUACCUGUGGGGAGACUCUACAGGAGAUUUACUGAAAGAUUCCUCCUCUUCUUACAGCCCAGAGAGUGUCACAGUAUACAAAGGGGUUUUGUAUUCACUUUCGACUCUAGUAAUGGUGGUUCAGUUCCACCAGCGCUGAAAGAAAUUAACAGACAAAAGCAGUGGCACAUACAAUUCUAAAGACCUCACACAGGUUUAAGAAUAAACAGGGGUAGCCACUGCCCUCAGAGCUAUCGGCACAGGAUACAGGCUUCUCAAACAGAUUCUGGAGCUGGACUCCAGCAGCAAAGAUCCAGCAGAAAACCCCCAGUCUUCCAAAUCAUCCCCCUUAGACACUAAAAAUUAAGUUUCAAGACCCAGCUCUGAGAAACUGAAAAGGUGAAGUUCUUCUGCAAGGCACUCCUGUCAGGAUAUUAAAUUUCAGUGGUUUAUACCAUCUUAAGACCCAGAAUGAACACUCCAGAAAUCACUUCUCAUUUUUAUUUAGCACCUAUAGCAUUAAAAAUAUGUAUUUUAUGCUAUACAGAUUUACAACACACUAGAAAAAAAUGAAUCUGGGUUACCUACCAGCUGCAAGCCGCUACAAAACGACUAAACCCAUAACCCUAAACGGCUCGUUUACUUAAAAAGGUACCAGAAUUCCUCUGCUUAAAUAGUGAAGUGUCACAGCACAGACCUGAGGAAAAACUUUUCAUUGCAUCAGCCAUCUGCACACUAGAGUUCGUUAAAAGAAUAUUGAGGAAAAUGUCAUACUUUUCAACAAAAGCCUUAAAUUUGGCUCAAAUGAGAGUCGAUGAGCAAACAAAGCUCCCAACAACUCUGUUUCACCCACUCCACGCACUGAAACACUCUCCUUGUAGCACCUGGGGGGAAACCCAGGAGCACAUCAAAGUGAUAUAACUACUGAAGAAUGGCUAAAGCCCAAAUAACUCAGUAUCUAAUCAUGGUGCUGAUGGCUUGAUUUCUCAGGGAAGCUUGACCCCUGUACAUAUAUGAGAAGCUUGAAACCACAUCAAAAAAUGGACUCAACAGGCUAGCAUAAAAGUCCACACCUCCAGAUACUGUUAUGACUAAAUUUCAUUUUAAAGAUUGAGACACAAAUUUGGUCAAAUUCCAUACUUUCUGAAUCUCACAGUAUAUAAUUAAGUAAACAACAAGCUUUACAUUAACUAUCAAGAGAUAAACACUAUCCACAUACAAGCAGAGGGAGAGGCAAGAAAUAAAAAGAUCUUAACCCAUGCCAAAAUUGAGGUGUACUGUAUACACAAUUAGCCAAAGUUUUAUCAGCAAAGAUGAUAAAGAACAGGACCUAAAGGACUUCUCCCUUUAAGGUAUUCUGAAUAUGGACACUAUCAAACCUAAAGCCUUCAAAAACCCAGAUUUUUGAGAAAUGAUUGAGAUUUCCACGAAGUUCUCUGCUAAGCUCAUAUCCUUCCUUUUUUGCUUAGCCAUCUUCACUCAACUGUACAUCCAGAGCCCCCAGGAUGAACGUACCACAGACACAGCUUUAUGUUUUCCAUUAAAACCCUACAACAGGAGUAAUCUGAAUAUUCCUUUAUAAGAAACAUUCCCAACUCUGAACUCGGUCUGCAGGAAACAGAAAACAACAAAUUCUCUUUCUUAAGCCCUGCCUUUAGGAAGGAAGGAUAAGCUUUGCAUAGUGAUUCUUGCAUUCUGAAGAAAGCAGAUUACAUCCAGGAUAAGGAAAUUGCAAAAAAGAAAAAGUCCUCCAGUGGGGCAGAAUGUGCUUGACUCCGCUGCCUUUCCCGAAGGUGUCGUAGUACUAGAACCCCAAGACGUUUACAAUCAUAGAAUCACCGAGGUUGGAAGAGACCUUCAAGAUCAUCCAGUCCAAGCAUCCACCUGGCACUGCCCCUGCAGCCCCUAAACCAGGUCACCCAGCGCCUCUCAAGCACCUCCAGGGAUGGUGACUCCACCCCGCCCGGCCAGCCUAUUCCAAUGCCUGACCACCCGAACAGUGACAUUUUUAUUUUCUAGUAUCUAAUCUGAAUCUCCCCUCUCUUAGCUUAAGGCCGUGUCCUCCUGUCCUCUCAUUGCAGCCACGGCAGCAGAGACCAGUCCCCACCUCCCUACAACUUCCUCUCUGGGAGUUUUAGAGAGCGAUGAAACCCCCCCUGAAACCCAGCUCCCGCAGCCGCUCCUCACAAGACAUGUUUUCUAGUCCAUUUCCAGUUAAAGGGUUCAGAACCUCACUUUAAUUAAAGGGAACAGACAGCUCCACAGCCGGACAGCCCAGAAGGGGAACGGGCAGGGUUGUGUGUGUGAGCACUCUGGCGAGGCAGGAAAGGCACAGUUCCAGGCAGAGCGACCCCAUGGAGCUCAGCAUUUCCUUUACAUCUUGUGGACUUUAAGUGACCAUCUGGAGCUGAACCUUAGGAGACUACCCAGUUUGCAGCUCAGCGGUAAUGAUACCUUCAAAAAAAAGCAGCUUUGACAGGCAUAAGUGACAUUCUUGUGCUGCUGUGUGCUCGUGUGGUGACGUAAGAAACACCUGCAGGGCAAAGUGAUGGUGUUUCAGUACUGCACCUUCCUAACACUUCUGCUGUGGAUUCCCAACUUCCAGGUAACAAGCAGUUGUUUUUUGCAUGCAGUCAUGAGUGUUCUGUGUUUGGGGGGGGUUAUUUAUUCAUUUAUUUUUAACUUCAUUUAUUUAUUUAUUUAUUUAUAAGAAGAAGGAUAAAAAGCAGUGUCCAUGACAUUUGAUAGUAAUCACAAGGAGUUCCUGUAUGAAAUGAAUUUCUUCUGCCUGCAGCAGUCAGAUACACAGAAGAGGCACAGGUGUUUCUGACUCCUUUUAUUCCUUCAAGGUUUUCCAUCCAAACAUGGACAAAGCCCAGCUUUACUUUGCUUAUGAGCUGUGACAACACGAUAGCCCGUGGCAGCGUGGCUGUGAACUACUGAUAUUUCUGUUGUUCUGUGCUCACUGGAGCCUCGAGAAGAAAAACAAUCUAAGCAGGACUCAACCUUGAGUGUCUUGCAUAAGUACCAAGAAGCCCUCCCUAAGGGCUCACAGACAACUUUAUCAAAAUGAGGUUUAGGCAGCUGAAACAUAGGAAGAAAUUCAGUCAUGCACUGCAGCUGUGCAAUAUUUCAGUCCGUUCACAGAGUCACCGUAACAGCCCCUAAAGAACUUUCUGGAUAAAUAGGGGGGGGAUCUCCGGGUGGAUGAAGAAAUGACAAGGCCAGCUCAGUGUCACCUUCCCCAUCAGAGCCCCUGGAACACAUUGGGGGAGUUUUGGUAGUGAAGUGGUGAUAACAGAGGAACUUCCAUGCCUUACAGGAGGCUGGUGCAACUCAGAGCAGCCAUUGCAGCUUCUCUAAUCUGAAUGUGAGGUUGAAGUGGUUCCUGGUGAGCCUGGCACACUUGGAAGUGAAAGCCUCUUCUGCACUUUGACUGCAGUCUCAGUGCCCUUCAAAGACGAAGAGGCACUUGAUGUGGUCUGGACCAGGCACUGUCCAGUUGUAACCUCCAAAACCCACCCUACCCUACCCAGUAAGAUCUUAUUUUCAAUCCUGUCACUCUUUGAAUGACAAUUUUAGUGCCUAUAAUCAUGGGUGUCUUAGGAUCCCCUUGUGCACCUUUAUUACCACUAUCCAAAUUCACAUACGGUGCAAUACGUCAAAAGGGCUUCUCGUUGAGUAUUCUCACAUGAGGUUCUGAUCACUUUAAAUCACUUGGGCAUAACAGCUCGAGGUGUGUUAGUGACCCCUGAGCAAAAAUCACUGGAGAAAAAUCCCAGUCUACACUUCGCUAAUGCUGCUCAAAAGAUAUCAGAUUUCCCAGCAUGUACUGUCUGGGGAGCUGUGAAUAAGUGUUGUGGUCUCCUUACGAGACACAUUUCUUUCAUGCCAAACAUGCUUACCCCGAGCUCAUAAUAAAGAAUAAUGCUUCAAAACCCAGCUGUGUUUCAGAAGGGUGUUAGUGGAAACUUGUUCUGCAAUUAAGCAUUUCAUACUGUAGUAGUUCUUGAGAGAUGUUAAGCAAAUGCUCUCCCUUACACACAUCCUCCCCUUUAUUAAACUUUUGCGUCACUCCUCUGAAAUUCUGCAUAUACACUUUCUUUCCCGCUUUCCCAGUGGCUGAUAUCAGAAACUUAUUACAGUAUAUGAUGCCUCAGUCACUUUUCUUGACCUUUAUUGCUGCUCUAAGUUCAUACUCCAGCUUACGUUAGAGAACUUCCUGAACACAAUGGUGUUUGCAUAUGACUAAUUAGGGCAAAUGCUCAAGCUGAUGAGUCAGCAAACGGCUCGGCAAGGACAGCGGCAGCGACUUGGCAGCAGAACAAGUCGGAGUGAAGAUGUGAGAAGCCUGUGGCUUUGGAUGUGUUUGCUGAUGAGCCAGGUGUCACCGUGAUGGGCUCUGUCGGCAUUUACUCUCAGGAUCCAAAUGCAUCCCCAUCAAUAACGACUGUCAAAACUCCUGACUUCAGUGGGAAGAAAUCGGGGGGUUAAUUAAGGCAUCUUCCCUCCCGAGAACACUGACCAUUUCUGAGCAGGGACUCACCAGGCAGAGGGUGUUAAAGAGAAGCUUCAUUUAUAUCUCUGGAGCUGGCAGCUCACAUCACAGGGGUGUCACAAACAACCUCAGCACUGGCUUUCCUGGGCUUUUGCUUCAUUGUACAGCUUCAUUGUACAGCUUCAUUGUACAUUGUACAGGGAAUUAACACUCAUUGGUUCAAUAAUUAAGCUAUAAUGAAGGGUACAUUCUAGUCUAUCAAUAUUUGACAAAAACACCUGUCUUGCUCACAGCGCCACUGUGGAGUGUUGAUUUGACAGAGAAAUGACACGAGGUCUCAAAUGCUGUGCAGACCCAGGGCUCUGUGACACAGGCUAAUGGUUGUUACUACAACUUACUGUGCUUAACUUAACUGUGCAAGAACCUGAGAUGUUUGGUGGUCAACUCAUUCCACAAUAGAAAAAUGAAUUGAAAUUUGAAUCAAAUUCAAACUCAACCACUGGCAUUGGAAGCCUAAUGCUGCUGUUUCUCAAAUACGGAAUAUUGUCUGAAACAAGAGUACGUGAUGGGAGACACAAUCUCCCUUUGGCAACUGCUGUUUCCUCUGGUCUUUUCUAACCUCAGUAUUUCUCCUCUCCUUCUUGUGCCAAGAUCUUGUUUAUUUUUCCUUUCGCAUCUGCACAAUCCACAUUUUUUAAACUACGACCCCCUCUUCGAGCUUGCUCGGGUCAGUGUACACUUAGGCAUUUGGAAAUACUCUCUGGAUUGUUAUUUGUACACAGGUACCCCCAUAUGGUAACAAAUUCUGCAGUAUAAUAAAAGCACUAUGUCCAAUUCAGUGCAGUUAGAUUUGGGGAAGGAUUUUCUACCUAUGAAAGGAGUUUAACAGAUGAAAACGAAAGGCAAGCAGACACUCAGCAGGCUACACUGUACAGUUUCACCAGUCAGCUGCAUCCUGCCUAUCCCAGGUCCCUCCUGAGCAGAUACUGCCAAUUGCACAAUGGAUUUCCUGAUGUGGACAAAAACCAGCAUGGCAUUUUAAAUUUGUCCUUACAGAAAAGAUGGGUUUGUGGUCAAAGCCCUGAACAAAGACUCUGGGGGCCAAGGUUUGGUUCCAGGCUUCCUGGAAGACUCUAUGCGACUCACUUAGAGAAAGGCUUUCUGAUUUCAAUGUUUUGCCACAGUGCGGAGUGGAGGAAUCCACUGCGUGCUGUGCACGAAGUCCAGCUCCCCAUGCAGCAAAGUGGCAGAUCUGGAACCCUCAGGAAGCAGCUGAGGCAGGGAGCAACUGAGACAACCACAAUGUAAACACAGAAAAAAAGGAGUGCUGCGUGAUCCCAUGGCCUUGUCAAAACCAGAUCCAGGUUUUGGCUUUCAAGAUGUGUCUGUGCUCAGUAUCCCCAUCUGGUAACUCCACAUUGCAGUAAGUCACUUGGAAAAAGCAGGUGAAGUCUGGGGGCUAAAGUGCUCUCUUGGAGGUCAGAGAUGCUUGUUCAGCUUCUGUCCUGUCCAGCUCAGACCAAGGUUUGGCAAAAACUUUGGAAAAUCUUCCCUUUUUCUCUCCUCUGGGAACUGUUUUGAUUUAGCCCCGUAAGUGCUGUUUCCAGAGGAACGCUUGGAACAUGAAGAAGCUGAGUUUAAAUCCUCCCACCAAAACAGGCAAAAGAGAUUUGGGCAGAGCUUUCCCUGCUCAGAGUGCCUGAACAGUGGUUUUAUGUUCCUCGGUGUGAUCCUGAGUACUCCUGAGCUUACCAAGAGCUGUUUUCAUGGCCAUCUGUCUCACUGUGUGAGAUGGAGACACAAUCACCUCCUUUCCUCCUCUUCUCUGCUCACACACUUCAAGCACAGCUUUCUUGCGAGGCUGUGGUGACCAGGGCAGCACAGUCUGUCAUCACAGUGGGAAGCAGGACACUGGCUGGUUCUCCUUGUGACCCACAAAGUGGUUUUAACCCACAUCUCUGGAGCCAGCAGGACACUCCCCAUAUGCCAACCAGCCCAUAACACCUCAGACCUACCGGGCUAGUUUUACUUUCUUAUUUGCACUGCUUCCCUUUUGAAGGCACUACAAACACAAGUGAAACGCUUUGAGGACAGGGAAGGAAAGCCAGACGAGCAGCCAGCAGGAGCAGCGUGAAUGGGGUGACAGUCUUUGCAUAAGUUAUAACCUAGAGCAGAGGGAAUAUGCCUUUCUCAGAAGGAGUGGUUUCAAUUUCAUGCAGAUUUCUGACUCCUACAGCUAGUUAUGAUCCGCAGGAACAUUCAGAAAGAGUUUUUUUUUUUCCUUCUUUUGAUCCUUUUCAUCCCUCCUACAAAGACCUUUGUUAUUUUAUAGCCUGGACCACAAGUUUCUCACACAGAGCAAGAAAGAGUCCAAAAUAAAUUAAAAGAUGAAAUUAAAUGGACUGCACUUGUAAUGAAAAGGUAAAGGUGACCAAACUCUUUUACCUGAUGCAACAUAACGAAGUUUCAAAUUCUGAUUGAAUUUUUUCCUGGUUUGACAUUAAAACACACUUUCUUUCCAAUUAUACAGUUUCUUAAGUGUUUCUGCCUAACAUUUCUCCAACUUGGAUCUAGCUAAAAGACAAAGGGCUUGAGGUUUUAUUUGUUUGUUUGUUUGUUUUCCCAGCAACAUAGUAGAAAAUGCAGUGCAAGCUUUAAUGACUAUGUCUGUUUUAACAUGCCUUUUGGAGGACUGUAGGCAUUUAUGGGGGAACAAGGUAAUUAACAUAUUACUUGGGCAUGCAAAGACAAGUUCAAAGCAGCUGUCUUUCUUCUCUUGAUAUGGCAACACAAUCAUUAAAACAAUGCCUUCUUAUAUCUUUCUUUUUUUCCUCUCUGUGUUCACAGACCACUCAAGUUGCUUGUUUAAGUCAAAGCUUUAAGAGCUUGCCAAAUUUUCUGGACCAGUAAUUUCUGUCUCUAACACACUGUUCCCUCUUACUUAUUUGAAGUAGCAAAAUAAAAAUCAAUACCUCAAUCCCUUUAAGGAAAUGUUGAACUCAAGUGCUCCCAUAAUCUCAUUUCAGCCUCUAAAUAAAUUACUUCUAUAGUACAUCCAUUUUUCUUCCAAACUUUCCAGAUUUUCCACCUAUUAAUCUAGAACCUUCAUGGUUCUUCACAUUAAUCUCACCUUCACGGAUGUGGUGAGAGGUGGGUUUAGCUGAUCCAGCCCACUGUGAGAGGUGUCAGGUACCCCUGAAAAAUCUGGGAAGCACAAGCAGAUGGAGGAAGGAUCCUGUUGAGACACUUCCUGCCAUGCAGAAAUCCAGGUGGGUAGGUGAGGGGGGAUGCCUAAACCGGUGUUUCUAAAUCACAGGGUCAAGGAGCCGAUUGUUGCUCUAGGCAGAAACAAGCACCCUGCCAGCUUGAUAACAACAGAGCUGAGACACAGAUUACAGUUCCUUUAAUUUUCUUCCAGUUAAUUAAAUGAUCAAUUGCAGCGCUGGCUUUCAGCCAUGGCAGUGCCAGCUGAAAUGAGCUCUCCAGCUUCUGAGAGGGUAAUCAAUAGGCAUCAUUUGCAGCAGCGAUGUAGGGCUUUAUUUUAAAGCCAAAUAUUAAGAUGCAGAGGCAACAUACUGCUCAGCAAACAGAUCUUCAGCCCCCAAAAAAUUCCCAGUGAAGAAUGGCACAAGUAUUUACAGCUUUAGCUUGCAUUGUGUUUUCACUUCUCUGCUUACCAUAGACUUCCUGCAUGACCACAGAAAAAACACUUAGGUCCAGAUAUGCAAAAGUAUCUGGCAGCUGAGAUAAAAAUCAGUUGGACCUAGAUACAUAAAUAGUCUGUGGAUCUGGUCCUUUGGAAAGGAGACUGAGUUCUCCACUUAGGAACGGUGUAAUAGAUACUUUCUACCAGAACUGCAACAACUCCUGGCACAAAAAGCCAAGGCCAAGUAAGAGCUGAGGUUGGGCAGUGACUGAACAGCUCCAGGUAUCUGGCCACAAAGCAGCAUCUGAGCAUUCUGCCUGGUGUCUUCUCCUCAGUGCUACCCACCUUAGCCAGCAGCAAGAGAGACCAGCAUAUCCUUUGAUGGCUUUCCAGUUGUUUUCUUGGUUCAAACUCUCCAUUCCUUUAGCUGGAGAUGCUGUGGAGAGCAGGAAGGAUGAAGUGUGAGGCAGUGAACAAGGACCACCAGUGCUGGGUUGUCAGAGCACUUUGGCAGGUGAGAAAAUCAGAAAAAGUAAUAUAAUGGAGGCAUAGAAUGGGCUGGGGGCAUUCCUAUAUUGUUAAGGAGGAAUUAGGCAAGGUUCUGGUAGGAACUAAUAACCCCAGCAUUUCAGAGCCCAGGAAACCCCUGGGUUUAUAUGCCAAAAGAUGUCAACACAGGAUGGAAGGAGUUUGCCAGGGAACUGAGUAAGCAAAAUUCAGAACCAUAAUGACAAAGUUGGUGCAUCAAACCUCACUUUACUAUCUUGAGAUCAAGUGUUAAAUAAUGAAAUGUUCAUCUGUAAGAGGCAACUCAUAAGCGUGGGAAACAAAGAUUUGUAGGAACUUGAUCUAGAUAAGAAUGACCACAGCCCUCACUGUUUUCAGAACCAAAUGAAAAUUUGUUUAUGCUGACUGCUUUUGCUCAGGGCAAGCCUUUAGCACAUAUAGGUAUUCAUGCACUCAACAGAGAGAGACACACAAGCUAAUCAAUUUUUGUUUUUUGGAACAAGAGAAAAAGUUGGUUCAUGGAUGUAAUUUUCAUUUUUAGUUGAGAAGCCCUUGGUUCAUCAUGAACAAAGCACAUCAUCACAAAAAUGGAUGGCAAGGGGAGAAACCAGUUAAAUUUCAUCACCAUUUCGUGACUUUAUUUUUAAAAAUGCAAGAGGAUUGUAGCAAUAGCAUCUCUACUACUCAUUUAUUUUACUAGAACUGUUACGCAAAACUGAGAGAAGGCAGCACUGCUGCAAUCUCCCCCAGGUAAAAGCAAGCGUAGGCCUGAGUACAGCAGCUCGUGGAUUACUGAUAGGACCAGCAGCUGAACAACUUCUCCCAAAGCAGCAGAAAAGAAAUCUAAUUGCAGGAGUAGAGCAUGUAUUUCUGAGAGGGAAGGAUCCAUUCUGGUCUAACAGGAACACUUUUGAAAGGUUUUAAAUUCAUAUAAGCUUGAAAAUAAACAAACAAAAAUCAACCCCUUAGGGAAUGACCUCAGUGACAUCUGAGGCUCCUCUCUAGCCAGCCUGGCUGGCUGAGCAGUGUCCCUUACUUGGCAUCUUGGUGUGACCUUUCUUCCCCACAGGUAUGUGCAGAGGAGGGGGCAGAGCUCGUGUGAGGUGUCCCCAGUGCACCACACCGCAGCAAAGGCAGGGACAGGCAGCCUGCCCCGACUCUGUGGCUUCUCAGUGGAAGAGAUGUGAAAACACAGCCACAAAAAUAAAACCCAAUAAAACCCACCCCUUUUCCCCUCAAAAUAGGCUUGGCUCAAUCCAAAGGUCAUUGUCAGCCCACUGACUUCUUCUAGAUCACAUAGACAACCCGUCAGCUCCUCAGGGAUUCAGUCUCCAAAUUCACAGAUCUGUGAGGUAACCACAAUCUUCCUAACAGAGAUUUUUUACAAACAAAAAGUCCCUCAUAUGUUUUUACUCCAUCAAGAAAAGACAAGUAGCUUGCAUCAUACAACUUUUAUGGUUUUUCCCUGCUAAGCAAACUCAUGUUAAAAAAAGGCUGAAAGUGACCUAAAUGAGCAAAAAACUACCCAGGAGCAAUGUUUAUUUUGCAGAACAGAAUUCUGUUCAGGAGCCCUCAUUAAUGUGAAAAGUUUCCGCAUGACCUCAGAGUUUCUGUAGCCUGUGAGCGUCCUGCAGCCUCUGCUGCAUGUAAAGAAAUGGUAAAGAAAUUGCUGCUGCAACCCCGUGGAGAGAGUAAUGAAGUUCUGUCAAUCAUGUCUGA